Molecule: unclassified non-coding RNA, 279 nt
Filed under: plant metagenome
Description: partial contains small subunit ribosomal RNA, internal transcribed spacer 1, and 5.8S ribosomal RNA
Source: RNAcentral
UCUCCGUAGGUGAACCAGCGGAAGGAUCAUUAUUGAAUGACACACCUCUGGCUUACUACUGUUGUGCUACCCCUUUAGACAAUGUGCACACGGCUCUGGUCACUUGUUUCUUCUGUUCCACCUGUGCCCGGCCUGUCGACACGCUGUGUCUAUAAUAGUUUUUCACACACAACAAUGUUAAUUAGCAAAAUCUAUAUACUACUAAAAUAUACAACUUUCCAUCACUGAUCUCUUGACUCUCUCAUCGAUGAAGAACGCAGAAGACCGGUAACGGCCACG